GACGAACGCUGGCGGCGUGCUUAACACAUGCAAGUCGAACGGAAAGGCCCUGCUUUUGUGGGGUGCUCGAGUGGCGAACGGGUGAGUAACACGUGAGUAACCUGCCCUUUACUUUGGGAUAACUUCAGGAAACUGGGGCUAAUACCGGAUAGGAGCUCCUGCUGCAUGGUGGGGGUUGGAAAGUUUCGGCGGUUUGGGAUGGACUCGCGGCUUCUCUGCUUGUUGGUGGGGUUGUGGCUUACCAAGGCUUUGACGGGUAGCCGGCCUGGGAGGGUGACCGGCCACAGUGGGACUGAGGUACGGCCCAGACUCCUACGGGAGGCAGCGGUGGGGAAUAUUGCACAAUGGGCGGAAGCCUGAUGCAGCAACGCCGCGUGCGGGAUGACGGCCUUCGGGUUGUAAACCGCUUUCGCCUGUGACGAAGCGUGAGUGACGGUAAUGGGUAAAGAAGCACCGGCUAACUACGUG
RNAcentral lists this ribosomal RNA (468 nucleotides) under uncultured bacterium. RNAcentral's name for it is "partial 16S ribosomal RNA". It matches the Rfam family "Bacterial small subunit ribosomal RNA", at positions 28 to 507 of the family's 1533-position model. The record is from RNAcentral.